Long non-coding RNA from Lutra lutra (Eurasian river otter), 591 nucleotides. RefSeq lists it as uncharacterized. Lineage: Eukaryota; Metazoa; Chordata; Mammalia; Carnivora; Mustelidae. The record is from RefSeq and is a predicted model, not a curated record. The transcript is spliced from 5 exons.
GAGCAGCAGGUCUGUGAAUCAGCUGUAUGGGGAAGAAGUUACUGCCCCAGAAGCUCAGGGGAUGAAAGGCUACCUUGCCGUCUGCUGACAGGACCAUUCCACCUCAAUGGCAUCAGACUUGGAGCAUCCAAAUGUGGCAUUUCUGAAAAAUAGAGGCCACCAGACCCACUAUCGCCAGAGGCGUCAUGGAAGAGAGACUGUGGAGCCAAGCAUGAGGACAGCAUGUGGGGAAGAAGCCAUGUGUAACCCAUACUGCAACUUCCAGGAGGGGAGCAGGAAAUCCAGUCUCCCUCCCCAUUGAAUUCCCAGCGCAUGGAACACAAGGUACAUAGUGAUCCCUGCUACUUCCCAUUCACAUCCUGGGUGCUCACUCUGCACCAGCCGUGUGGUCAAAAGCGGUAAACAAGAUAGAUCCUCAUUUGUUCCCACACGUCCAUCAGGAGGAACCAAAAGAGACCCAAAGCGUUCCCUCAGCCUUUCUACCCCAUGAGGACACAGUAAGACGACACGAGGUCCUCACCUUCACCCCAUCUGCUGCUGCCACAAUCUUGGACUUCCCAGCCACCAGAAGAGAAAUAAAUGUCUGUUACU